RNAcentral lists this ribosomal RNA (728 nucleotides) under uncultured bacterium. RNAcentral's name for it is "bacterial SSU rRNA". It matches the Rfam family "Bacterial small subunit ribosomal RNA", at positions 771 to 1501 of the family's 1533-position model. The record is from RNAcentral.
AACAGGAUUAGAUACCCUGGUAGUCCACGCCCUAAACGAUGCGAACUAGGUGUUGGGGAAGGAGACUUCUUUAGUACCGUAGCUAACGCGUGAAGUUCGCCGCCUGGGGAGUACGGUCGCAAGAUUAAAACUCAAAGGAAUUGACGGGGACCCGCACAAGCGGUGGAUGAUGUGGAUUAAUUCGAUGCAACGCGAAAAACCUUACCUACCCUUGACAUGGCAGGAAUCCCAAAGAGAUUUGGGAGUGCUCGAAAGAGAGCCUGCGCACAGGUGCUGCAUGGCCGUCGUCAGCUCGUGUCGUGAGAUGUUGGGUUAAGUCCCGCAACGAGCGCAACCCUUGUCAUUAGUUGCUACGAAAGGGCACUCUAAUGAGACUGCCGGUGACAAACCGGAGGAAGGUGGGGAUGACGUCAGGUCCUCAUGGCCCUUAUGGGUAGGGCUACACACGUCAUACAAUGGCCGGUACAGAGGGCUGCCAACCCGCGAGGGGGAGCUAAUCCCAGAAAACCGGUCGUAGUCCGGAUUGCAGUCUGCAACUCGACUGCAUGAAGUCGGAAUCGCUAGUAAUCGCGGAUCAGCUUGCCGCGGUGAAUACGUUCCCGGGUCUUGUACACACCGCCCGUCACACCAUGGGAGCGGGUUCUGCCAGAAGUAGUUAGCCUAACCGCAAGGAGGGCGAUUACCACGGCAGGGUUCGUGACUGGGGGUGAAGUCGUAACAAGGUAACC